GUUUAAAUAGUUUAAGAAAAAUUUAAGUUUGUGGUACUUAAGAUGUAAAAUUUACUUUAAACU
This 63-nucleotide transfer RNA is filed under the name Semibalanus balanoides (northern acorn barnacle). Its description in RNAcentral is "tRNA-His". The record is from RNAcentral. Lineage: Eukaryota; Metazoa; Arthropoda; Thecostraca; Balanomorpha; Balanidae.